Molecule: long non-coding RNA, 717 nt
Organism: Aegilops tauschii subsp. strangulata
Lineage: Eukaryota; Viridiplantae; Streptophyta; Magnoliopsida; Poales; Poaceae
Source: RefSeq, a predicted model, not a curated record
UUUGACCAUCUACGGGUCUGCUAGAGAUGCUCCUACUUCCUCCUGCCGUUUCUUCCCUCGUCUAGCAAAACUGGGCAUCCUCUCAUCCAUGGCGAAUAUUGAUCCAAGAAUCCGCCAGGAUUCGACGCUGAGUCGCCGCUAGUUCCAAUCCCACGCGCUGCGCCGUCGCGUCUCCCUCUCUUCACUCGCUGAUCCGCAAAAAUGAAAUCCCCGAUCCAGCCACUGGCCAUACAUUCUGUUCCCCCUUUUGAUUGUAUACCUUCUAGUCCUUCAAUUUGUCAGUACUAAAUCUGACCAUUCUAAACAACCUGGAAGUGAGAGAGAAGCAACCACUAUGGGAUACAUCAGAUGUGCGGUGAGGUGAUUUAGGUGUCGUGUAGAGAUGGGUGGUGGAGGAGUCGUCAAGGAGAUUGCCUGAGCAGAAUCGUAACUCGUCAAAUACUAACCCACACGGACAGGAAACUUCUUCUGAAGAGAGGUGCAUGGAUAGGAAACUGGCUGACAUAACUAAGCCUCUCUGAAAUAGAGAAAGAUGCUGAACCAAGUCUAAACCUAACUGAGCAUGGCUGGUCCGAUGCCUCUUGGCUGGUUUUCUUUCAUCAUGGAGGUUGCAAAAGGUUCAGUGUAGAAUUUUGAUUUACCUUUCAUGGUGAACAAAAUAGGCAACAUGCAGGUUGUAUGCUAAGAUGAUGUUAUAUGAUAAGAUUAGUUUCUCAA